Long non-coding RNA from Dalotia coriaria, 1615 nucleotides. RefSeq lists it as uncharacterized. The record is from RefSeq and is a predicted model, not a curated record. NCBI's taxonomy places the organism in Eukaryota, Metazoa, Arthropoda, Insecta, Coleoptera, Staphylinidae. The transcript is spliced from 5 exons.
UCGGUGUAAACAGCGUUUUUAUCGCAUGUGUUCCGCGCGCUGUCUCCUAGCGCCGCUUCAACUUGCUGCAUGCAGCGAAGUCUAGUUUAGUUUAGAUCACAGGUAAUGUGCCUAUUGCAAAUUCGCCACAAAGUCGCGUGCCGUCGACGCGCCGUUUCUGCGCACCUCUUGCUUUCUUAUCAUGUACUGUCCCGUUGUUGUUUACGCAGUUUCGGCAUGCACUAUCGGUGGAUUGCAGCCAGUUUCGUGCCGAUUGCUGGUUAAUCCAGUCGUGUUUUGAGAGGCUUAUAUCGUUUAUUCGGACUUCAAUAUUCUAAAUUUGUGUUAUACUUGAAGAUCAAUCGACUAUUUAUUUGUACAUUGCGACUAUAGUAAUUUGUUUAAUAUUCGGUAAUGCCGGUUUUUUGAUCGCGUUUGUUAUGUAUAUUACAAGUCACGUGAUAGUGGAUGUGAUAACAUUCUUCACUCGGCGUUGUGUUUGGUGUCGGUUACUAAAUUAAUCGAAUAUAUAUCGCCCCCAUGUUGAUUCUCAUCAUUAAGAUAGAUCCAUCAGGCUCCCUUACAGCACUUGUUGUGCCUGGCAGUCCGAUAAGCUGUACACUGUAAUUGAAGAAAUGCCAGUGAGGGCCAGUGACGUUCCAUGAGUUACAAUGCACAGGGCGAGAGUUCAUGGCUGAGAUUAUAAUUAAAUUCUUCAUUUCAUGGGCAUAGUUCAGUUUCGCGUCAUUGUAAUUGUCAUUCCGGUUUGAAUUACUAUAAAUUUAAUACAUUGCCCGCCUGGGAAAUGCUUAUUUUUACUGAUGUUUAAUGUUUACACUGGAAUGCCCCUGAUAUGCGAAUUUAUUGACAUUUCUUUUCGGUGCAUGAAAAUAAAACUGAUAAAACUAUAUUUAUUCCGUACCCUACAACUUGCACACGAGAAUUGUUUGACUUCUACUUAUUUAUCGGUGUUAGUAUUUCUUUUCUUUUGAUUAAAUAUUUCAUUGAAUUAUUUUGAUUUGUUCUUACCGCAGUUUUACUUGAUCGGGAAUUUCCCUUCAGUACUGUUCAACCAUUUUCCAAAUUUCGAGUUUUGUAGUGUCGAUUCAUGCGAACAAUUCUGGUUUUAAUGCAAAUACAUUCUCUGAUAUGUUCCCUACCUGGCUUCAAUACUUGUUCUACGAUUCUCAAUCUCAGGAUUUGCACUCCUGUAUUCGCCGUAGUCCGAUGUAGUCCGAUGAGUAGUCCGGUGCCCUAAAUGUAACUUCUACCGCUACCUUCGUACGGUGCCUUGAAUGGGAACUGGGAACUUGAACAGGAGAGGUUUAGCAGUACUGGUGGAAUGCGUAUUGAGGAUGUUUUGUUUACUGAAGGUGGAUGUUUCAACUGGACUAAAAUACCCAGAACAGUCCAAGAAAUUGAAGAUUGGAUUGCCGGUGUUAAUGAUGAUUCCAAACACGAUUUAAUAAAUUUACAACAUUUUUAAGCUGUUAUUGAUAUCAUUUUUGUUUAUUAUGUUAAAAAUUAUAAAAAGAGCAUUGUAUAAUUACAUGUAUAUACUGAGAAAUUGAGUUACUGAUGGGUGUAUAUUCUACAUGUUUGAAUAAAAUUGUUGUUUUAUACUUUUAACUAUAAA